This 393-nucleotide ribosomal RNA is filed under the name uncultured bacterium. RNAcentral's name for it is "partial 16S ribosomal RNA". It matches the Rfam family "Bacterial small subunit ribosomal RNA", at positions 523 to 918 of the family's 1533-position model. The record is from RNAcentral.
AUACGGAGGAUCCGAGCGUUAUCCGGAUUUAUUGGGUUUAAAGGGUGCGCAGGCGGGAGAUUAAGUCGGCGGUGAAAUUUUGCAGCUCAACUGUAAAAGUGCCUUCGAAACUGGUUUCCUUGAGUGUAGAUGAAGUAGGCGGAAUUUUUGGUGUAGCGGUGAAAUGCAUAGAUAUUACGAGGAACUCCGAUUGCGCAGGCAGCUUACUAAACUACUACUGACGCUCAGGCACGAAGGCGUGGGGAUCAAACAGGAUUAGAUACCCUGGUAGUCCACGCAGUAAACGAUGAUUACUAGCUGUUUGCGAUACAAUGUAAGCGGCUGAGCGAAAGCGUUAAGUAAUCCACCUGGGAAGUUCGUUCGCAAGAAUGAAACUCAAAUGAAUUGACGGGG